GUGGGGUAAUUUUCCGCAAUGGGCGAAAGCCUGACGGAGCAAUGCCGCGUGGAGGUGGAAGGCCUACGGGUCGUCAACUUCUUUUCUCGGAGAAGAAACAGUGACGGUAUCUGAGGAAUAAGCAUCGGCUAACUCUGCGCCAG
Molecule: ribosomal RNA, 143 nt
Filed under: uncultured bacterium
Lineage: Bacteria
Description: partial 16S rRNA
Rfam family: Bacterial small subunit ribosomal RNA
Source: RNAcentral